Molecule: ribosomal RNA, 253 nt
Filed under: uncultured bacterium
Lineage: Bacteria
Description: partial 16S ribosomal RNA
Rfam family: Bacterial small subunit ribosomal RNA
Source: RNAcentral
UACAGAGGGUGCAAGCGUUAAUCGGAAUCACUGGGCGUAAAGCGUGCGUAGGUGGCCUUACAAGUCAGGUGUGAAAUCCCCGGGCUCAACCUGGGAACUGCACUUGAUACUGUUUGGCUAGAGUGUGGUAGAGGGUGGCGGAAUUCCGCAUGUAGCGGUGAAAUGCGUAGAUAUGCGGAGGAACACCAGUGGCGAAGGCGGCCACCUAGACCAACACUGACACUGAGGCACGAAAGCGUGGGGAGCAAACAGG